CAGGGCUGGGGAAGCUGGGUGGGGCAGGGGUGUGGCGGCGAAGGGCUGGGAGGAGCAGAGUCAGGGUCAGACAGUGUGGAGGAGGGAGCCAGCCCUGAGAAAUGGCAACGGAGAAGGAGAAGAUAGAGCCCAGAUGAGAUACUUUGAGGAAACAGAAUCUGCAGAGCUCAGAAAGAAUUGGCUGUGGAAGCAAAGUAAAUGGGAGAUAUCCGAGGGUCCUUUUCUGCCAGGGAGACGUCAGGUGGAGAACCCUUCACUGUGUCCCCAAGCCUCAUCUGUCACCUUCUCCAGCUCCAUCUGGGCUUCCGGAGAGAGGGCUGCAUGAUCGAAACAGUGCAGGACACUCAGAGCCAAGUGCCCACAGCCACACCAGGAAGCAAGACCACAGCUUGUUCGACUCUCGAGAAGUCAUCGGGAAAGCGGCCCUGGAAGUCAGACGCCGUAUUGAUUUCUGAGACCGGAUCUUCCGCUUCCUUAGCUGGGAUUGUGGCAAAGAAGUGGUUCCCUCUAAGACCCAGCUGGGUGAAUGUGGUUCAGUGGUACCUGGUGACAAUUCGAAGUGUGCCUGUCCAAUCUCCCAUCUGUGCCCAUCACCCCUGAUGUCCCUGCGGCGUGGACACCGAGCUGACCAGGCCGGAAGCCUCACGAACUGAUGAGAUACCAAAUACUUUCAGUCACCUUGGAAGGAAAUCACUUAAAAGACUGCAACUGUUGGGACGCCUGGGUGGCUCAAUGGUUGAGCGUCUGCCUUUGGCUCAUGUCGUGAUUCCAGGGUCCUGAGAUCAAGUCCCGAAUCAGACUCCCCACAGGGAGCCUGCUUAUGUCUCUGCCUCUCUCUGUGUCUCUCAUGAAUAAAUACAUAANAAUAAAUAAAUAAAUAAAUAAA
This 886-nucleotide long non-coding RNA is filed under the name Vulpes vulpes (red fox). RNAcentral describes it as "lncRNA (ENSVVUG00000029024.1)". Lineage: Eukaryota; Metazoa; Chordata; Mammalia; Carnivora; Canidae. The record is from RNAcentral.